AUACGGAGGGGGUUAGCGUUGUUCGGAAUUACUGGGCGUAAAGCGUACGUAGGCGGACUGGAAAGUUGGGGGUGAAAUCCCGGGGCUCAACCCCGGAACUGCCUCCAAAACUUCCAAUCUAGAGAUCGAGAGAGGUGAGUGGAAUUCCAAGUGUAGAGGUGAAAUUCGUAGAUAUUUGGAGGAACACCAGUGGCGAAGGCGGCUCACUGGCUCGAUACUGACGCUGAGGUACGAAAGCGUGGGGAGCAAACAGGAUUAGAAACCCGAGUAGUCC
This 274-nucleotide ribosomal RNA is filed under the name uncultured bacterium. RNAcentral's name for it is "partial 16S ribosomal RNA". It matches the Rfam family "Bacterial small subunit ribosomal RNA", at positions 523 to 796 of the family's 1533-position model. The record is from RNAcentral.